CGGGUGAGUAACGCGUGGGUAACCUGCCUCAUACAGGGGGAUAGCAGUUAGAAGUGACUGCUAAUACCGCAUAAGCAUACAGGACCGCAUGGUCGAGUAUGAAAAACUCCGGUGGUAUGAGAUGGACCCGCGUCUGAUUAGCUAGUCGGUGAGGUAACGGCUCACCGAGGCGACGAUCAGUAGCCGGCCUGAGAGGGUGAACGGCCACAUUGGGACUGAGACACGGCCCAAACUCCUACGGAAGGCAGCAG
RNAcentral lists this ribosomal RNA (251 nucleotides) under uncultured bacterium. Its description in RNAcentral is "partial 16S ribosomal RNA". It matches the Rfam family "Bacterial small subunit ribosomal RNA", at positions 103 to 354 of the family's 1533-position model. The record is from RNAcentral.